Molecule: ribosomal RNA, 274 nt
Filed under: uncultured bacterium
Lineage: Bacteria
Description: partial 16S ribosomal RNA
Rfam family: Bacterial small subunit ribosomal RNA
Source: RNAcentral
AUACGGAGGGUGCGAGCGUUACUCGGAGUCACUGGGCGUAAAGCGUCCGUAGGCGGUCGGGUAAGUCGGGUGUGAAAGCCCCGGGCUCAACCUGGGAAGUGCACCCGAUACUGCUCGACUCGAGUGCGGGAGAGGAUGGCGGAAUUCCCGGUGUAGCGGUGAAAUGCGUAGAGAUCGGGAGGAACACCAGUGGCGAAGGCGGCCAUCUGGCCCGCAACUGACGCUGAGGGACGAAAGCGUGGGGAGCAAACAGGAUUAGAGACCCUAGUAGUCC